GGAUUUUAACGGAAUAUAAGACCUUGGGUCUUAUAAACAGAACGUUCCCUGUCUUGUUUAGUUUUGAAGGAACUUUGAUUCUUUCAUAUGGUAGAUGGGCCUGUAGCUCAGCUGGUUAGAGCGCACGCCUGAUAAGCGUGAGGUCGGUGGUUCGAGUCCACUCAGGCCCACCAUCUUUACCCAAUAUGGGGUCUUAGCUCAGCUGGGAGAGCGCCUGCUUUGCACGCAGGAGGUCAGCGGUUCGAUCCCGCUAGGCUCCACCAACGUGUUCUUUGAAAACUAGAUAACAGAAGUAAUUCACAUUCAAUUAGUAAUGCAAGAUAUCACGUAGUGAUUCUUUUUAAC
RNAcentral lists this transfer RNA (345 nucleotides) under Bacillus sp. fiply 3A. RNAcentral's name for it is "16S-23S ribosomal RNA intergenic spacer". The stretch from base 97 to 170 matches the Rfam family "tRNA". Lineage: Bacteria; Bacillati; Bacillota; Bacilli; Caryophanales; Bacillaceae. The record is from RNAcentral.